This 253-nucleotide ribosomal RNA is filed under the name uncultured bacterium. Its description in RNAcentral is "partial 16S ribosomal RNA". It matches the Rfam family "Bacterial small subunit ribosomal RNA", at positions 524 to 776 of the family's 1533-position model. The record is from RNAcentral.
UACGGGGGGGGCUAGCGUUGUUCGGAAUUACUGGGCGUAAAGGGCGCGUAGGCGGCCUACUAAGUCGGACGUGAAAUCCCUCGGCUCAACCUGGGAACUGCGUCCGAUACUGGUGGGCUCGAAUCCGGGAGAGGGAUGUGGAAUUCCAGGUGUAGCGGUGAAAUGCGUAGAUAUCUGGAGGAACACCGGUGGCGAAGGCGGCAUCCUGGACCGGUAUUGACGCUGAUGCGCGAAAGCCAGGGGAGCAAACGGG